Sus scrofa (pig) is the source of this 72-nucleotide non-coding RNA. NCBI's taxonomy places the organism in Eukaryota, Metazoa, Chordata, Mammalia, Artiodactyla, Suidae. The record is from Rfam.
UCUCUGGUGGUCUAGUGGUUAGGACUCAGCACUUUCCUUGCUGUGGUCCAGGUUCAGUUUCUGGUCUGGGAA